This is a long non-coding RNA of Pelodiscus sinensis (Chinese soft-shelled turtle), 381 nucleotides long. RefSeq lists it as uncharacterized. Lineage: Eukaryota; Metazoa; Chordata; Testudines; Trionychidae. The record is from RefSeq and is a predicted model, not a curated record.
UCUACAGUGACGUUGAGUUCCCAACCAAACUUCAGCUAUGAAGAUCCUUUACCUUCUUUUUGCUGUCCUCUUCCUCAUGAUGCAAGUUGGUGCACAAGGAGGUUGUCGUCCCGGGGCUGUCUUGAGAUGUUGGAAAGCAAAAGGAGACUGUUACUUUACACGAUGUCCUCGUAAUAAAAAAUACUUGGGACGCUGCUGUAGGUGGGGCGUUUGCUGCAGAUGAGGUCCAAGUGAGCGAUGGCAGCAAAGACUGUCAAUGCAGCAUCUCUGGAAAUCUGGGAGACAUCAACUUGCUUCUAAAACCUUUGGAGAAAGUCCACAAAGGAACUUUGUAUCAUAUUUUAAGACUUUUUACUCUUCUUUCAAUAAAAGCAACUGGUU